This 351-nucleotide transfer-messenger RNA is filed under the name Bacteroidales bacterium. RNAcentral's name for it is "partial transfer-messenger RNA". It matches the Rfam family "transfer-messenger RNA", at positions 1 to 325 of the family's 374-position model. Rfam says of the family: Bacterial tmRNA, also known as 10Sa RNA or SsrA, is named for its dual tRNA and mRNA-like properties. The record is from RNAcentral. Lineage: Bacteria; Pseudomonadati; Bacteroidota; Bacteroidia; Bacteroidales.
GGGGCUGACUGGCUUUGACAGCGGGAUGGGCCUUUGUGUAAGCAUGCAGUGAGACGUCACCUAUCACUAUAAUCCACGAUGGCGAACUAUAAUUGGCGAGACUAACUACGCUCUUGCUGCCUAAUCGAAGUACAGUAGAUUACUGGCUUAAUCGGUCGCCAAGGUGCGGCUGACAAGACAUCACCCCAAUGUCCUUGUUCCGAGACAGAGGAACCGGUGGUGCAGGUAAAUCGGAACUAAUCAGGGCUUGCCUCGCAGCCUUGGUGAAAUCUUAGAGGCUAAGGAGUCACUUGGUGGUCCGGGUCUUGGUGGCUCCCGACAAUGAAGGCCGGAAUAAGCAUGUAGAAAGCG